Long non-coding RNA from Neofelis nebulosa (Clouded leopard), 1099 nucleotides. RefSeq lists it as uncharacterized. NCBI's taxonomy places the organism in Eukaryota, Metazoa, Chordata, Mammalia, Carnivora, Felidae. The transcript has 3 exons. The record is from RefSeq and is a predicted model, not a curated record.
UCUGACUCCAAAAUCACAGACUUUAACAAUCACACUGAUGACUUCACAACACAUAAAGGUCAGAGCACAGAAAACAAGUCUUGGCCUGAGCUACAGAUUGAGGAGUUGUCAGGAUUUGGUAACAGUCGAAACCAUAUUUAUAGAUGGAAUUAUCCGAAAGAAGUGAAUACAAUUGAGGAGAGAAGGAAAGACCAAUGUUUCCAGUGCAAAGAAAGAGAAGAAACAGACCGAACGGGAACAGCCAGAGUGCAAGCCGGGUGCCCACACUUGUAGUCAAAGGAGCCCCAGGAAUGGACACAGCAGUGUUCAGUGAGGGCUGGAGUGAUUCUGGAGGAUGGCCUUGAAGGAUGGAGAGGAGAGCGAGCGGCCCAGGGCUGGCGCAGCUGCUGAAAUACGUCAUCAGAUGCCCAGGCCUCUUCUGUAAUUUUGCUCUACCAUCCUUGGCUCAUGACUCUAGUCCUCAUGGUCACAAAAUAGCUGCUGCAAUUCCUGGCCUCACAGCAAUGCUCCCAGUGGGAAGAAGGAGGAAGGGCAAAGGGCUCAUUGGUCCUUUUGUUUUGUUUUGUUUUGGUUUUUUCAAGUCAGGGAAACAAGAUUUUCCAGAAGUCUCGCUUCGCUGACUUUACCUCCAUCUCACAGGUCACUGUGAUGUCCCACGCUCACCCUGAGCUAGAAAGGGUGACGAAAAAGACAGUUGUGGAUGAAGAUGAGAAGCAACAGUAUCUGCUCUGCUGAAGAAACAACCAUGCAGUUCUAUGAGUGCGUCGCACAUAUGUGUGGGAUACCACUGGUGGUGGGAAUCAGAAGGAAGAGGGGAUACGUUUCCCACUCCUGAAGGGAAAUCACUAGACAGAUUUGUCUCACCUGAGAAUGCGACAGAAGCCAGUUAGUACACAUUGAGACAGAGCCUGGGUUUCUUCACACUUGUCUCCAAAUAUCCAGCCAAUUUGAGAAACAGGGUGACCUCAUGGACCCUGGCCACAUGUUACUAACUACCAAAUAAGGUGGACAUAAACAUUUCAGAUCAAGGUGAUGAACCUCUAACUGACAGAGGGUCCAUUCUUGCCGGAGAGACUGAAAUGACUCCAAGAAGACAGCA